CUAUUAUUCUUUAUUUUAAAAAUUUUUAUAUAUUUAAGUAGUGUGGAUAAAUAUUUAAUAUUUAAAAUUAUAUUUGAAACUUAAAAAGCUUGGCGGUGUUAUAUAUCCAUUUAGGGGAGCUUGUUUAUUAAUUUGAUAAUCCUCAAUAAACUCUUACUUUUUCUUGAAUAUUGACAGUUUGUAUAUUGCUGUCAUCAGUUUAUUUCGUGAGAAUUAGGUUAAAAAACUUAAAAGCUUAUAUGCUUAAAUGUCAAGUCAAAAUGCAGCUUAUGGAAAAGGUUUAAAAUUAUACAAAUGAGCUACAAUUUAUUAAUUUAAUUGGAUUAGAUUUUGUAAAAGAUUUAUAAAUUUGGACUUAAUAGUAAUAUAAAAAUAAUUAGUAUGUUUAUAUGAAUAAGGUUUUAUAACGCGU
RNAcentral lists this ribosomal RNA (412 nucleotides) under Doratosepion lorigerum. RNAcentral describes it as "partial 12S rRNA". Lineage: Eukaryota; Metazoa; Mollusca; Cephalopoda; Sepiida; Sepiidae. The record is from RNAcentral.